GAUGAACGCUGGCGGCGUGCCUAAUACAUGCAAGUCGAGCGAACAGAUGAGAAGCUUGCUUCUCUGAUGUUAGCGGCGGACGGGUGAGUAACACGUGGGUAACCUACCUAUAAGACUGGGAUAACUCCGGGAAACCGGGGCUAAUACCGGAUAAUAUAUUGAACCGCAUGGUUCAAUGUUGAAAGACGGUUUCGGCUGUCACUUAUAGAUGGACCCGCGCCGUAUUAGCUAGUUGGUAAGGUAACGGCUUACCAAGGCGACGAUACGUAGCCGACCUGAGAGGGUGAUCGGCCACACUGGAACUGAGACACGGUCCAGACUCCUACGGGAGGCAGCAGUAGGGAAUCUUCCGCAAUGGGCGAAAGCCUGACGGAGCAACGCCGCGUGAGUGAUGAAGGGUUUCGGCUCGUAAAACUCUGUUAUUAGGGAAGAACAAAUGUGUAAGUAACUGUGCACGUCUUGACGGUACCUAAUCAGAAAGCCACGGCUAACUACGUGCCAGCAGCCGCGGUAAUACGUAGGUGGCAAGCGUUAUCCGGAAUUAUUGGGCGUAAAGCGCGCGUAGGCGGUUUCUUAAGUCUGAUGUGAAAGCCCACGGCUCAACCGUGGAGGGUCAUUGGAAACUGGGAAACUUGAGUGCAGAAGAGGAAAGUGGAAUUCCAUGUGUAGCGGUGAAAUGCGCAGAGAUAUGGAGGAACACCAGUGGCGAAGGCGACUUUCUGGUCUGUAACUGACGCUGAUGUGCGAAAGCGUGGGGAUCAAACAGGAUUAGAUACCCUGGUAGUC
RNAcentral lists this ribosomal RNA (786 nucleotides) under uncultured bacterium. RNAcentral's name for it is "bacterial SSU rRNA". It matches the Rfam family "Bacterial small subunit ribosomal RNA", at positions 28 to 795 of the family's 1533-position model. The record is from RNAcentral.